Molecule: transfer RNA, 72 nt
Filed under: Hordeum vulgare
Lineage: Eukaryota; Viridiplantae; Streptophyta; Magnoliopsida; Poales; Poaceae
Description: tRNA-OTHER
Source: RNAcentral
CCCUCUCUAGCCCAGCGGUAGCAAACACUUAGCGGAAGCGCUUGGUCGUGGGUUCGAGUCCCACGGGAAUUA